GAUGAACGCUGGCGGCGUGCCUAAUACAUGCAAGUCGAGCGAACAGACGAGGCGCUUGCUCCUCUGACGUUAGCGGCGGACGGGUGAGUAACAAGUGGAUAACCUACCUAUAAGACUGGGAUAACUUCGGGAAACCGGAGCUAAUACCGGAUAAUAUAUUGAACCGCAUGGUUCAAUAGUGAAAGACGGUUUUGCUGUCACUUAUAGAUGGAUCCGCGCCGCAUUAGCUAGUUGGUAAGGUAACGGCUUACCAAGGCAACGAUGCGUAGCCGACCUGAGAGGGUGGUCGGCCGCACUGGAACUGGGACACGGUCCAGACGCCUACGGGAGGCAGCAGUAGGGAAUCUGCCGCAAUGGGCGAAAGCCUGACGGAGCAACGCCGCGUGAGUGAUGGAGGUCUUCGGAUCGUAAAACUCUGUUAUGAGGGAAGAACAAAUGUGUGAGUAACUAUGCACGUCUUGACGGUACCUAAUCAGAAAGCCACGGCUAACUACGUG
RNAcentral lists this ribosomal RNA (497 nucleotides) under uncultured bacterium. RNAcentral describes it as "partial 16S ribosomal RNA". It matches the Rfam family "Bacterial small subunit ribosomal RNA", at positions 28 to 507 of the family's 1533-position model. The record is from RNAcentral.